GAUGAACGCUGGCGGCGUGCCUAAUACAUGCAAGUCGAACGCUGGAAAUCUAUCUUGCUAGAUUGAAGGAGUGGCGAACGGGUGAGUAAUACAUAAGCAACCUACCCACUAAGACUGGGAUAAUCUCUUGAAACGGGGACUAAUACCGGAUAGGUAAUCGGAAGGCAUCUUCUGAUUAUUAAAGGUUAAAAACACUGGUGGAUGGGCUUAUGGCGCAUUAGUUAGUUGGUGAGGUAAAGGCCCACCAAGACGAUGAUGCGUAGCCGGCCUGAGAGGGUGAAAGGCCACAUUGGGACUGAGACACCGCCCAGAAUCCUACGGGAGGCAGCAGUAGGGAAUUAUCGGAAAUGGGGGAAACCCUGACCGAGCAACGCCGCGUGAGUGAUGACGGCCUUCGGGUUGUAAAGCUCUGUUGUAAGGGAAGAAAGGUAGAUAGAGAAUAUCUAAAUGACGGUAGCUUAACAGAAAGCCACGGCUAACUACGUG
RNAcentral lists this ribosomal RNA (486 nucleotides) under uncultured bacterium. RNAcentral describes it as "partial 16S ribosomal RNA". It matches the Rfam family "Bacterial small subunit ribosomal RNA", at positions 28 to 507 of the family's 1533-position model. The record is from RNAcentral.